GCGUGGGGGCUGCUAUACUGCAGUCGAACGCGUCUCCGUUGAUGAUUUUAGGUGCUUGCACUUGAAAGAUUUAACAUUGAGACGAGUGGCGAACUGGUGAGUAACACGUGGGUAACCUGCCCUUGAAGUAGGGGAUAACACUUGGAAACAGGUGCUAAUACCGUAUAACAACCAAAACCACCUGGUUUUGGUUUAAAAGACGGCUUCGGCUGUCACUUUAGGAUGGACCCGCGGCGUAUUAGCUUGUUGGUAAGGUAACGGCCUACCAAGGCGAUGAUACGUAGCCGACCUGAGAGGGUAAUCGGCCACAUUGGGACUGAGACACGGCCCAAACUCCUACGGGAGGCAGCAGUAGGGAAUCUUCCACAAUGGACGAAAGUCUGAUGGAGCAACGCCGCGUGAGUGAUGAAGGGUUUCGGCUCGUAAAACUCUGUUGUUGGAGAAGAACAGGUGUCAGAGUAACUGUUGACAUCUUGACGGUAUCCAACCAGAAAGCCACGGCUAACUACGUGCCAGCAGCCGCGGUAAUACGUAGGUGGCAAGCGUUGUCCGGAUUUAUUGGGCGUAAAGCGAGCGCAGGCGGUUUUUUAGGUCUGAUGUGAAAGCCUUCGGCUUAACCGGAGAAGUGCAUCGGAAACCGGGAGACUUGAGUGCAGAAGAGGACAGUGGAACUCCAUGUGUAGCGGUGAAAUGCGUAGAUAUAUGGAAGAACACCAGUGGCGAAGGCGGCUGUCUGGUCUGUAACUGACGCUGAGGCUCGAAAGCAUGGGUAGCGAACAGGAUUAGAUACCCUGGUAGUCCAUGCCGUAAACGAUGAGUGCUAAGUGUUGGAGGGUUUCCGCCCUUCAGUGCUGCAGCUAACGCAUUAAGCACUCCGCCUGGGGAGUACGACCGCAAGGUUGAAACUCAAAGGAAUUGACGGGGGCCCGCACAAGCGGUGGAGCAUGUG
RNAcentral lists this ribosomal RNA (949 nucleotides) under uncultured Lactobacillus sp. Its description in RNAcentral is "bacterial SSU rRNA". It matches the Rfam family "Bacterial small subunit ribosomal RNA", at positions 35 to 943 of the family's 1533-position model. The record is from RNAcentral. Lineage: Bacteria; Bacillati; Bacillota; Bacilli; Lactobacillales; Lactobacillaceae.